This 478-nucleotide ribosomal RNA is filed under the name uncultured bacterium. Its description in RNAcentral is "partial 16S ribosomal RNA". It matches the Rfam family "Bacterial small subunit ribosomal RNA", at positions 28 to 507 of the family's 1533-position model. The record is from RNAcentral.
GAUGAACGCUGGCGGCGUGCUUAACACAUGCAAGUCGAACGAGAAGUGAAGACGGAAACCUUCGGGCGGAAGGCUUUAUUUCGAGUGGCGGACGGGUGAGUAACGCGUGGGUAACCUGCCUCAUACAGGGGGAUAACAGUUGGAAACGACUGUUAAUACCGCAUAAGACCACAGCACCGCAUGGUGCGGGGGUAAAAACUCCGGUGGUAUGAGAUGGACCCGCGUUCGAUUAGCCAGUUGGCGGGGUAACGGCCCACCAAAGCGACGAUCGAUAGCCGAUCUGAGAGGAUGACCGGCCACAGUGGGACUGAGACACGGCCCAAACUCCUACGGGAGGCAGCAGUGGGGAAUAUUGCACAAUGGGGGAAACCCUGAUGCAGCGACGCCGCGUGAGUGAAGAAGUAUUUCGGUAUGUAAAGCUCUAUCAGCAGGGAAGAAAAUGACGGUACCUGAGUAAGAAGCCCCGGCUAACUACGUG